This is a long non-coding RNA of Balaenoptera acutorostrata (minke whale), 2803 nucleotides long. RefSeq lists it as uncharacterized. The record is from RefSeq and is a predicted model, not a curated record. Lineage: Eukaryota; Metazoa; Chordata; Mammalia; Artiodactyla; Balaenopteridae. The transcript is spliced from 4 exons.
AGCUGGCUGCCCUGAGGCCGUGACGCUUAGAGACCAUGCAGUGAGACCGCUAAAAGAUGGAGGGAGGUGCCUGAGGAGCCCCAGCCCUCAGCCUCUAGAUGGUCUUUGAUCCCCACUGACGCCAUGUGAGCAGAGACGAGCCACCCAAGUGCAGAUUCAUGAGCUACAUAAGUGGUGGUUGUCGUUGUAUGCUGCGUUUUGGGGUGGAUUGAUACGCGCCAUUAGCUUUAGUUUUUGAUGCCCCUGGACAGAGGACUCCCUCUUCUUACCACUGCGAGCAACUUAACCUAAAGUGGUUGGCCCAGGGCACCAAACAGGGCUGUGCAGGGAGACUGUGCAGGGAACUGUGCUGGGUCAUGACCUCACUGAAGUGUCCGGGCUGGACUUUGAACCCGGGUCUGUAGGAUCCUGCGUUUGGUCCUGGCAGGCGGCAGAGGAAGGCACGCAAGCCAGUGGGGCCCCAGUGACUCAGAGCUGGCAGGUCCCCUGGCCCGCCCUUUCCUACUGACUCAGCCCAGCCAAUUCCGCGGGCUUUUCUGUGGAAUUCAGGGCCCCCAGGCAGCGUUCCUGAGUGGCUGCCUUCUCCUGGAUGCACUCCCUGGAGAGCUGGCAGGCGGCUCGUGUUCCCAUGGCAGUCUCUGCUGUGUCCCUCAGCCCAGCCCUGGACCUCCUGAAUGGGACCCCUCAGCGCAGCCCAACUCCCAGCCCCUGGGAGCCCAAGUUCAGACAGGCACGAAUCUCUCUGUAAUUGAUCUGAACUGGGAUGAGGGUGAGUCGCCUUUCUGCUCCGCUGCUGCCGAGGCUGCUGAGGGUAGUCAUGGGGGAAAGAGAAGGGGGGACAAGGCCACCCAUUCUCCUGCUGACCCCUGUGGAGUCUCUAGCUCAAUCACGUGAUGCUGGAGGGUGGCUCCUGCCGGCCAUUCCUUCCUCCACCUCAGGGUGCCCAGCUGUUCCUGCUUUGGGGAACCCAGGGCUCACCCAGGCCACCAAAGCCUCGGGCCUCAGUUGCCCCGAUUUCUGUAAAAUGGUAGUCUUAUUUCCCCAGUGUCAUUCAGAUAUAAUUGAUAUACAAUGUUGCAUUAGUUGAAGGUGUACAGCACAAUGAUUUGAUACAUGUAUAUAUUGUGAAUGAUUACCGCAAUAUGUUUAGUAAACAUCCAUCUCCUCACAUAGCUACAAAUUGUUUUCUUCUUGCCAUGAGAACUUUAAAGAUCUACUCUCUCAGCAACUUUCAAAUAUACAAUACAGUAUUGUUAACUGUAAUCACCCUGCUGUAUAUUACAUCCCCAGCACUUAUCUUGUAACUGGAAGUUUGUACAUUUUGACUCCCUUCACCCAUUUCCCAUGCCCCUAGCCCCCAUCCCUGGCAACCACCAAUCUGUUCUGUUUCGAUGAGUUCGGUUAUUUUGGAUUCCACAUAUAAGUGAGAUCAUACAGUACUUGUCAUUCUCUGUCUGACUUAUUUCACUCAGUGUGAUGCCCUCCAGGUCCAUCCAUGGUGUUGCAAAUGGUAGGAUUUCCUUCCUUUUCACAGCUAAUGAAAGGUGAUAGUCUUAAAGGCCCUUCUGGCCCAGACUCCUGCGAUUGGCCACAAAAGACUCCCCAGCCUCCUCCUUCCUUCCCCAUCUCCAUGGAAUAGGUCCCAGGGAAGCAGGUCCCCCCUGGCCUACUGCACAGAGUGACCCUAGGGGGACACUGGGCAAUGGGACAGAAAGGGAUGUUGCUAGAUGAAUUCAAUUGAUCAUGUGCAUUUAGGCCCGUCACAUGAAGGGUAGAGAAAACUUAAAUUGUGACUUGCCCAGGGUCACAAGCAAGUGUUAUACUGGGAUUUGAACCCUGGGGCGGUCUGGUUCUGGUGUCGUGCAUCCCAUCAAAAGGAAUUCUCCCCAGUGCCAGGUCCAUUCACCAGUCUCUUACUGAAUACCUACUGUGUGCCAGGUCCCAUGCUGGGUGCUGCCACGUAUGCACCGAUGGGACCCAGGCCCUGCUCUUGGUGAAGAGAUGGCCAGACAAGGUGAGAUCAGCCUAGGGGCUGGGGUCGGGGAGCCCAGGUCCACCAUGCACCCACAUUUCCAGUCUAGAGAAGAGAGAAAUCAAGGCUCUGAUUCCUGGGAUGCAAUCAGAGGUCGCCUAAGAGGAACAGAGAAGGUGCCAGUGUUGGGGGCCUCCCUGAAGGGGUGAACGAAAAAGUAGAUGCCCGUCUCUGUGGGCUUUGAGGCUGGUUUGGGGGAGACAAUAAUAAUCUGGUACAGUUGAUUCUUGAACAACAUGGGGGUUAGGGGUGCCAACCCCUGUGUAGUUUAAAAUCCUCUUAUAACUUUGCAGCUGGCCCUCCGUAUCCCAGGUUCCGCAUCCUUGGAUUCAACCAACCAAGGAUGAUACCGUAGUACAUAUUUACUGAAAAAAAUCUGCAAAUAAGUGGACCUGUGCCGUUCAAACCUGUGUUGCUCAAGGGCCCCCUGUAUUACUACUGAUAAAAGGGAAAGCCAAAGUCUUGACAAUAACCUGUAUGGCCCUUCUGCUCUGUAUCCUUUCCCCUAUCCUCCUGCCUUCUCCAAUCUCCUCUCCUGUCCGACUCCACACCUCAUCCUCACUGUUCUUGGAACAUUCCAGCCCACUCCUGUUGACCAAGACAUUUCUGUUCUUGGAGCAGAAGCAGGCAACAAACAGGUAAAGUAAUCGAAGAAUGGGGAAAUGUCUGAUGGAGAAAACAUGCAAUGGAGAAAACAGCACAGAGUGGCUUGAGGGGGUGCGUGGGAACCGUGCAGGGGGAGCUCUGCCUGUGUGGAUGCUCCUGUCCCAA